GACAGAGGGUGCAAACGUUGUUCGGAAUUACUGGGCGUAAAGCGUGUGUAGGCGGUCUCUUAAGUCGGAUGUGAAAGCCCCGGGCUCAACCCGGGAAGUGCACUCGAAACUGGGAGGCUAGAGUACUGGAGAGGUUGGUGGAAUUCUCGGUGUAGAGGUGAAAUUCGUAGAUAUCGAGAGGAACACCGGUGGCGAAGGCGGCCAACUGGACAGAUACUGACGCUGAGGAGCGAAAGCGUGGGGAGCGAACAGG
Molecule: ribosomal RNA, 253 nt
Filed under: uncultured bacterium
Lineage: Bacteria
Description: partial 16S ribosomal RNA
Rfam family: Bacterial small subunit ribosomal RNA
Source: RNAcentral